GCUUAAUUCCUCUUGCGCAAGAAAUACCAUGAGCUCCCGUGGUCUUCUUGCAGCAAUACGGAUUAAUUGCACUCUUGUGUUGAUAGUGGCAAGCGAUCAUUCGAAUGUUGAGCGGUCACGUGAGUUUUCAAUAUUACCUUGGAAGAAAAUAGACUGAGUAUUUUUUGCAAAUCCUAUCUAACAGUUGAGACUGAAUACUGGGGUUGUACAGGUCAUAAGGCAGUAUUUUGAACGAUCGGGUUGAACGAGGAAGAAGUGAAUUGAUUGAAGGUUGCAGAUUCCAGAAAGCAAACAGUGAUGGAAACUUGUGAUUUUGGAAAUCAGAACGCUCUGGUGCUUUCAAGCUAUCCGGCUAAUGGAAUAAUGAAAUUGGCGGUGGAAGAAAUCGCACAGGAAUGAUGGAAAAGUAUGAGCUUCGGGGAGGAGAACAGCAAUCGGCAUCUAAGCAUUUCGCAAUCUGAGUAUAAUUUUGACUCGUGCGUAUAUGGUUGGCAAACCAAAUUUGGCUUGGCAUUUUCAUCAAUUGAUCCGAUGUUAAAGAGGGGUCAUCAGGAUUUAUAUACUGAGCAAUUGCAGGCUGGUUAUCUACUAAAACAUUAGACCAGAUUUCAGCCAGUAGAUUUCCUGAAUGGACAAAGUUUAUCUUUUUUAGAUCGGCAUCUGUAGUUUUUCCGGACGAAUCUAGAUGGGAGCCAAAGUGGGUAUGAUCCAAAACUAAUCCAGCGUGCUCAAGGCUAAGUGGAGCCAUUUUUCUUUCAACUCGAUUGAACGCACUACGUCCAGGGGCCGUAUUCCGAACUUGGCUUGAUAUUCGAGGGAGAUUGGAUCCCAAGCUUGGAUUGAGUAAUCCUAAUCCUGACCAAGCCAAGCAAAGUUUGAAGAGAGAAUUCUAAACACGAAUUUAUUGUUGAUUGAGUUGGAUUGACAUUUUUGCUUGACUUGGACAAGCUUGGAAGGAGGGUCUUAUUUCGACCAAUCACGGAACGCGUUUCACGAGUUAUUAGCAGACGAAACUACAACACCAAAAAAAGUCAACACAACAAUUUUGGUCAGUUUGAAAAGUAGUGAGAAAUGGCUAGCAAUAACAAAGGAAAAGCUCUUAAGAAAUCAGUUAAUAAACUGAUAAGUGUUUGUGAAAGUUCAGUUUCAUUGAAAAACAGAAUUGAAUGGACUACCCAAGAAGAAAACUUAAACUUAACUUUAUUUUAUUGUCUAUUCUGCAUUUUAUCAGCUGCCUUUUAUUUUUUAGCACAUUCUCCAAGGUGCCCACGAUCAUGCUGUAAGAACAGAAGAAAAAACUAAGGCAUGGAAUGAGAUUCAUGAGGCAAUCAGUUUAGAGUUCCCCGAUGGUGAUCCAAAAAACUGUUCUCAAGUAAAGAAAAAAUGGGACAAUCUCAAUAGAGAAGCAAGAACUGAGAUUGCCAAGUAUACCUCAUCGAUAAGUGGAGGCCCUGAAUAUCAAUAUAAGGAACCGCUUCACAAAAAGAUUUUUGAAGAUGUCGUAGGAGUAAACAAUCCAGCAAUAGUUAAUGGAGGAAUCGAAGGAGGUGUAGAGAGUGAAACAGCUAGCAGUAGCUAGCAUAGCGUCAUAACAAGCGAUGGGAUUGUAGAUAUUACGGAUGAUGGGACCGUUGUUUCAAUCACUCCGACUCCAUCAAUGCCUGACAAAAUAUUAAUAACUGAAGGUGUUAGUUGCAACGGCCGCUCUACACCCAAAACUACACGAUCAACAAUGAGUGCGACGAAGAAGAAAAUUUUUCAGUUAAGUGACGAAAUUGGAAACAAACGACUGAAAAGGGAAAGAUUUAUGUAUUUAAACGUGUUGAGGGAAAGUAGAGCUCGUUUAGGGGUUCCUGUAACUAUGGAAGAAGUACAGUAUCCUGCACAAAAAUCCGAACACCGAUUUAAUUUUUUAAAGCCACCUAUUUGCGGAAAAAAGGGUUUUUAUUUGUUUUUCUUUAAUAGGGA
RNAcentral lists this long non-coding RNA (1968 nucleotides) under Daphnia magna. RNAcentral describes it as "uncharacterized LOC116935834, transcript variant X1". Lineage: Eukaryota; Metazoa; Arthropoda; Branchiopoda; Diplostraca; Daphniidae. The record is from RNAcentral.